RNAcentral lists this long non-coding RNA (749 nucleotides) under Equus caballus (horse). RNAcentral's name for it is "lncRNA (ENSECAG00000050430.1)". Lineage: Eukaryota; Metazoa; Chordata; Mammalia; Perissodactyla; Equidae. The record is from RNAcentral.
UUUCAAAAUUGAGUAGCAAUUGGGAGGAUGGACUUGGCUAAGGCAAGAUGCACAUGGACAGGGACGUGGUGGAGCAGAUCCCUGUGCCAGAUUCCAACAUGGAGUUGACCUGGACAGGAAGGAAGAAGACCUGAGACGUGGCCCCUCUGAGUCAUAUUCUCCCAGCCCGGCUUCAUGAUUUCGUCUGAAGUAAACGCCUGGGGCGACAGAUAACCCUGCCCCACUAAGAGCCUGCUCUGACGUCUCCAGCCGCCAUUCUCCUCUUAGGCUCCCAGUAGCUGUCUCUGGACAAUGCAGACAACAUAUUUUUGGUGCUUGGUUACAAUAUAUUUUGGCAUUUUAUUAUGUGGUCUCUUGUCUGAUUUCUAGGUCUUCCGUGCGCCUGACUCUCGCCUCAUCAUGAGGUUAUAAACCUUGACCUGACGUCUGCUCUUAACAUACUCAUCUUUUAGGGACUUCGUAAAACCCAGGGCAGCACAGUAUGGUGUGUGAGAAAGACCCUAAACUUGGAGACAGAUAAAGUUCAUCAGAAUUCUACUCUCCCAUUUACUAGCCAUGGGACCUUAGCAAAUUAUUUUAAUUUCUGAGUCUUGGUUUUCUCAUCUCUAAAAGGGAAAUGAUUAUACACGUGUAAAAUGUCCGUCACAGGCUAAGCACCCAAUAAAUGGCUGUUCUCACAAAUGAGCCCAUGUCGUAUGACACCAUUUAGAUGAAAUUCUAGAACAGGCAAAACUAAUCUAUAGUGACAG